AUGAACGCUAGCGGCAGGCCUCAUACAUGCAAGUCGAACGGGUGGUCGCAAGACCACUAGUGGCGCACGGGUGCGUAACGCGUAACCAACCUGCCCCGAUCUGGGGGAUAGCCCGCCGAAAGGCGGAUUAAUACCGCAUAUACCCGCAGCCUGGCAUCAGGCAACGGGGAAAGAUUUAUUGGAUCGGGAUGGGGUUGCGUGACAUUAGCUAGUUGGCGGGGUAAGGGCCCACCAAGGCGACGAUGUCUAGGGGACCUGAGAGGGUGAUCCCCCACACUGGCACUGAGAUACGGGCCAGACUCCUACGGGAGGCAGCAGUAGGGAAUAUUGGGCAAUGGGCGAGAGCCUGACCCAGCCAUGCCGCGUGCCGGAUGAAGGCCUUCUGGGUUGUAAACGGCUUUUCUCAGGGAAGAAAAAGACCUUGCGAGGUACACUGACGGUACCUGAGGAAUAAGCACCGGCUAACUCCGUG
RNAcentral lists this ribosomal RNA (472 nucleotides) under uncultured bacterium. RNAcentral describes it as "partial 16S ribosomal RNA". It matches the Rfam family "Bacterial small subunit ribosomal RNA", at positions 29 to 507 of the family's 1533-position model. The record is from RNAcentral.